This 433-nucleotide unclassified non-coding RNA is filed under the name soil metagenome. RNAcentral's name for it is "partial contains 5.8S ribosomal RNA, internal transcribed spacer 2, and large subunit ribosomal RNA". The stretch from base 1 to 120 matches the Rfam family "5.8S ribosomal RNA", at positions 35 to 154 of the family's 154-position model. The record is from RNAcentral.
GAUGAAGAACGUAGCGAAAUGCGAUACGUAAUGUGAAUUGCAGAAUUCAGUGAAUCAUCGAAUCUUUGAACGCAUAUUGCGCUCUCUGGUAUUCCGGAGAGCAUGCUUGUUUGAGUAUCAGUAAACACCUCAACUUCCAUAUCUUUUUUGAAAUGGGAGUUGGACUUGAGUGAUCCCAACGCUUUUCCUCACCGAAAAGUGGCGGGUUACUUGAAAUGCAGGUGCAGCUGGACUUUUCUCUGAGCUAUAAGCAUAUCUAUUGAGUCUGCCUAAAAAACAGAUUGUUACCUUUGCUGCAGCUAACAUAAAGGAGAUUAGUUCUUGUGCUGACUGAUGCAGGAUUCACAAAGACAGGCUUCGGCCGACUUUGUAAACUCGAUCUCAAAUCAAGUAAGACUACCCGCUGAACUUAAGCAUAUCAAUAAGCGGAGGA